RNAcentral lists this microRNA (22 nucleotides) under Heliconius melpomene (postman butterfly). RNAcentral describes it as "Hme-Mir-216-P1_3p* (star (passenger))". The record is from RNAcentral. Lineage: Eukaryota; Metazoa; Arthropoda; Insecta; Lepidoptera; Nymphalidae.
CAGGUUAUCAGUUGGUAUAAAG